UAAGUUUCAUGGUAGUUAAGUUUCAUGGUGAUAUUUGUUUUUUAACCUAUCACCUGUAAUCUCUAACCUUUCCAUCAAAUGUAUUUUGUGUUCUGUGUGGAAAUAUUUUGAUAUCGAGAAUGGCAAAUGAAGUAGGGACUUUUAUUGUGACGAGUAUCAUCCAAUAACUCGUCUGUGACAUCUACCAUCUUUCUUUUAGCUGACUACAACUGUCGAGAUUUUGGAUUCCUUUUUGAGCAAGUUAAUUGAAGAUGCCGCGUCCAAGCAAGCGGUCCAGGGUGGCCAAGAAGAGAGAGGCUGACUUGAGGUCCACUGAGGUGCCGAGCAAGAGGUCCCCGGUGGCACAGGUUGACUUGGUC
This is a long non-coding RNA of Alosa sapidissima (American shad), 359 nucleotides long. RefSeq lists it as uncharacterized. The transcript is spliced from 4 exons. Lineage: Eukaryota; Metazoa; Chordata; Actinopteri; Clupeiformes; Clupeidae. The record is from RefSeq and is a predicted model, not a curated record.